GAAAUGCGAUAAGUAAUGUGAAUUGCAGAAUUCAGUGAAUCAUCGAAUCUUUGAACGCACAUUGCGCCCCCUGGUAUUCCAAGGGGCAUGCCUGUUCGAGCGUCAUUUCACCACUCAAGCCUCGCUUGGUAUUGGGCAACGCGGUCCGCCGCGUGCCUCAAAUCGACCGGCUGGGUCUUCUGUCCCCUAAGCGUUGUGGAAACUAUUCGCUAAAGGGUGUUCGGGAGGCUACGCCGUAAAACAACCCCAUUUCUAAGGUUGACCUCGGAUCAGGUAGGGAUACCCGCUGAACUUAAGC
This 298-nucleotide unclassified non-coding RNA is filed under the name plant metagenome. Its description in RNAcentral is "partial contains 5.8S ribosomal RNA, internal transcribed spacer 2, and large subunit ribosomal RNA". The stretch from base 1 to 105 matches the Rfam family "5.8S ribosomal RNA", at positions 50 to 154 of the family's 154-position model. The record is from RNAcentral.